CUACAGACGAAGAAAGGGACAGUAAUUUCUUUUCAAUUAUGAUCAAGCGAGUCAGGGAUGGUGCAAGCCUGAUAUCAAAAAAGAAAUGAACAUCACCCUGGAGUUCCAUGUUGAACUUAUAGUAAACAAUGGCGUUUCAUUCGCGUUAAGAAUGUGAAAGAGGAUGAGCUGACUUUUUUCUAUCGUCAACGAAUCAAUUAGGGUGGUACCGCGGGAAACCUUCUCGCCCCUUCA
This 234-nucleotide non-coding RNA is filed under the name Priestia endophytica. Its description in RNAcentral is "Bacillus endophyticus T-box sequence". It matches the Rfam family "T-box leader". Rfam says of the family: Uncharged tRNA acts as the effector for transcription antitermination of genes in the T-box leader family. T-boxes are found upstream of many aminoacyl-tRNA synthetase genes and some amino acid biosynthetic genes usually in Gram-positive bacteria. The anticodon of a specific tRNA base pairs to a specifier sequence within the T-box motif, and the NCCA acceptor tail of the tRNA base pairs to a conserved bulge in the T-box antiterminator hairpin. The record is from RNAcentral. Lineage: Bacteria; Bacillati; Bacillota; Bacilli; Caryophanales; Bacillaceae.